RNA transcript from Phacochoerus africanus (Common warthog), 3002 nucleotides. It is a transcript of the gene named synaptotagmin 3, with no coding region annotated. The record is from RefSeq and is a predicted model, not a curated record. NCBI's taxonomy places the organism in Eukaryota, Metazoa, Chordata, Mammalia, Artiodactyla, Suidae. The transcript has 11 exons.
CUUUCAAGCCGCAGGUUCGAAGGGAAAGAAGGAGGGGGUGCAGGGGGAGGAGCCGUGGACCUGCGACAGGGGCGGGGGGAGGAGCCGAGCGGGCACCGCGGCCGGCUAGCGGAGCUGCUGCGGCGGCGGCGGCGGCAGCUCCGGCCAGGAGAGGCACUAAGUACUUCAACUCCCAUCAGGCCCUGCAGCGCCAGGUCUAUGAAGCCGCAGCCACGCGAGCGCAAUGACUGCCGGGAACUGUAGUCUCUAAGCUUAUGGGGAGCUCGGGGCCCGGAGGUGGGAGGGGGUAGCUGGACCUCCUGGGGGUUAUCUGAGGUCGAGCAGCUGGCCCGAGUAGGACGCGAUGUCAGGCUCGGACUGAGCUUUUUCUCACGGCCACGGCCCCCAGAUCCGGCACCCCCUCCCACCACCUGGCUCGUGGGGACAGGUCUGCAGUCCCUUGUCCACUCUACAACCCGCAUGGGCUACCGCCAGCCGCCGCCUCAGCUGCCACCCAGGACACGGCAGGGAUAAGCGCAGCACAGGACCCGCUGGCCACCAUGUCAGGCGACUACGAGGAUGACCUCUGCCGUCGGGCACUCAUCCUGGUCUCGGACCUCUGUGCGCGGGUCCGAGAUGCCGAUACCAGUGACAGGUGCCAGGAGUUCAACGACCUGCGAAUCCGAGGCUACCCCCGGGGCCCAGAUGCAGACAUCUCCGUGAGCCUGCUGUCGGUCAUCGUGACGUUCUGUGGCAUUGUCCUUCUGGGUGUCUCCCUCUUCGUGUCCUGGAAGCUGUGCUGGGUGCCCUGGAGGGACAAGGGGGGCUCCGCAGUGGGCGGUGGUCCCCUGCGCAAGGACCUAGGCCCUGGGGUCGGUCUAGCAGGCCUGGUAGGUGGCGGCGGGCACCACCUAGGGGCCGGCCUCGGGGGCCAUCCCCUGCUAGGGGGCCCGCACCACCACGCCCACGCAGCCCACCACCCCCCCUUCGCGGAGCUGCUGGAGCCAGGCAGCCUCGGGGGCGCGGACCCCCCUGAGCCCUCCUACUUGGACAUGGACUCGUAUCCAGAGGCUGCAGCCGCUGCAGUAGCUGCGGGGGUCAAACCCAGCCAGACCUCUCCGGAGCUGCCCUCUGAGGGCGGGGCAGGCUCGGGGCUGCUCCUGCUGCCCCCCAGUGGUGGGGGCUUGCCCAGUGCCCAGUCGCACCAGCAGGUCACAAGCCUGGCGCCCACCACCAGGUAUCCGGCCCUGCCCCGCCCCCUCACCCAGCAGACGCUGACCCCUCAGCCGGACCCAGGCAGCGAGGAGCGGCCGCCAGCCCUGCCCCUACCCCUGCCAGGUGGGGAGGAAAAAGCCAAGCUCAUCGGACAGAUCAAGCCGGAGCUUUACCAGGGGACCGGACCUGGCGGGCGACGGGCCGGCGGGGCCCCGGGCUCCGGAGAGGCCGGCGCGGGGGCACCCUGUGGCCGCAUCAGCUUCGCCCUGCGGUACCUCUACGGCUCCGACCAGCUGGUGGUGCGGAUCCUGCAGGCCUUGGACCUCCCGGCCAAGGACUCCAACGGCUUCUCAGACCCCUACGUCAAGAUCUACCUGCUGCCCGACCGAAAGAAAAAGUUUCAGACCAAGGUGCACAGGAAGACCCUGAACCCAGUGUUCAAUGAGACGUUUCAGUUCUCCGUGCCCCUGGCUGAGCUGGCGCAGCGCAAACUGCACUUCAGUGUCUAUGACUUUGACCGCUUCUCCCGGCACGACCUCAUCGGCCAGGUGGUGCUGGACAACCUCCUGGAGCUGGCGGAGCAGCCCCCCGACCGCCCGCUGUGGAGGGACAUCGUGGAGGGCGGCUCGGAAAAGGCGGAUCUUGGGGAGCUCAACUUCUCUCUCUGCUACCUCCCCACGGCUGGGCGCCUGACCGUGACCAUCAUCAAAGCCUCUAACCUCAAAGCGAUGGACCUCACAGGCUUCUCGGACCCUUAUGUGAAGGCCUCUCUGAUCAGCGAGGGGCGGCGUCUGAAGAAGCGGAAAACCUCCAUCAAGAAGAACACGCUGAACCCCACGUACAACGAGGCGCUGGUGUUCGACGUGGCGCCCGAGAGCGUGGAGAACGUGGGGCUCAGCAUCGCGGUGGUGGACUACGAUUGCAUCGGGCACAAUGAGGUGAUCGGCGUGUGCCGCGUGGGCCCCGACGCUGCCGACCCUCACGGCCGUGAGCACUGGGCGGAGAUGCUGGCCAACCCGCGCAAGCCCGUGGAGCACUGGCAUCAGCUGGUGGAGUUUUCCCGUCUGUGGAAUGGGGCUGUGCUACCACUUACGCCAUCGCUGCAGAGCCGAGCCCAACAGAGAACUUUGAAUGAUGCGAGCAGGGUGGUGUCUCAUUCGGUUGACUAUUAGCCGUUGCCUUGCCUCUGUCCCCCACUCUCGAGCCUUCUGGAUUUCUCCCUUCAGGAAAAGACUUUGACAAGUUUCACGAAAGGCAGCAAAGGAUUGUCAGAGAAAGAGAACUCAGAGUGAGGGGUCUGGCCCAGGCUCAGGAUCGGACCAGGCCCCUUCAGGAUUCCACCCCUUCCUGCCCGGACUGUGAAUUCAUCUCCUCGAAGCCAUAACGCCCGAGCCGAGUGGUGCAGGGCAGCCCUGGGCCCGCCCCUCCUUCUGCCCCCAGAUGCAUGGGGGUGGGAGGCUGGCAGGCCCAGCUCCCUGUUUCAGGGUGGGGGGCAUUCAGUCUCCACUGUGUCUGUCUUCCCUUCCCCGGGGCUCCCCAUCCAGGCGAGGGGCCAUGCAUGUCUGGGGGACCCCUGCCCCCCCCAACCUCCGUCUGUCUCUCUGUCUGUGUCUUUGCUGUUUGUACAAGACUUGGUGUCCUAACCCUCGUUCUCGCUGUGAAUGUCAAUGGACCACUCCUCCGUGUUCCCCUGGAUACACAUCCCUGUGUCGACCGUUUCUGUUCACCACACUCCGCGUCUAGCCCCUCCUCCCCACUGCUGCUGCUAUCAAAUGCCAGAAUAAACACUCACCGUGGGUCUCACUCCA